Molecule: long non-coding RNA, 359 nt
Organism: Sitophilus oryzae (rice weevil)
Lineage: Eukaryota; Metazoa; Arthropoda; Insecta; Coleoptera; Curculionidae
Exons: 4
Source: RefSeq, a predicted model, not a curated record
CGGUAUUUAUAAAGAUAUAGCUGCCACUUGCACAGCUACUAGAAGACAGAAGGAACUUGAACUACAAGUAUUAACUGGUCCUGUUAGGGGAUGGGAAGGACCUAGUCUUACAAGUUUAGGUGAGAUCAUCUACAUGGGAAGUGUAGCAGUUGGAUCAAAUCAUCACGACAGAAUUUUUGUAUUAUUUCCCACCACAUUAGUUAUACUCUCAGUCAGUCAUAGGUUAAGUGCCUUUAUCUAUGAGGGAAAAUUAUUCCUUUCCACGGUCUUAUAGUCACCCGCUUAGAAGACACGGACGGAGUAAAAAACGCCUUUGAUAUUAGCGCUCCUAUGAUCGACAAACGUAUUGUCAUCUGUCA